UACAAGUUGAAUAUUUUUUUGAUUAUAUAAAUACCAUAGGGUAAUUAAGGGCCAGAUGCAUGCCUGGUGGGAAUGACUAGUUGCGGUAUUCCUACCCCCCCCCAAGUUGAACCUUUUAUUACUGCUCUGUGGAGAGUGAACAAAACUAUGAUUAAAACUGUGAUGCUGUGGCUGGUUGUCUGCUUCUCAGCAGCUGCAGCAGGGAAAGGUGAUGAGAAGUUUAUCAGAGGGGGCCCUCCCGUGCUCUGUGCCCAGGGCCUGUUUGCUUCUUGUGCGGGUCGUCUCCAACACACUGCGAGCGGGAGCAAAUCGCUGCUCCUGGAGCAGGAGGCACAGGAAGGCCAAGCAUUUCUGCUGCAGUACAUACUAUGGAUGCCAUCAGAAGGUUGAAAUAUGGAAAGCACCAACAUACUCACCAUCCUGGCAUCUGAAGGCCUUUACUGUCCUCGUGUCACAUUGCAAAUAGACACUGUCUAGGCCCUGAGUAUUCCACCAGGCUCUGCAGCAUCUUUGCCUCCCUGGGAUUUUGGCUGCUGAUGUGCAAGAUCAGCACUGGCGUGGUGCAGGUGAGUUUGGACGUGCCUCAUCACUAUGGACUUGUCUCACGUCCAAGGAACUUUAGGCUGACACUUUUUAUCAUCACCCAACUCACUCUGCCCUUCUUUCUUGGGUACAAUGGGACUGCACCAGGUUGGGAGGACACUGCCCUGCUGUCUAGGUGAUGGCCUGUGACUCCCAGCUCGUCUUUGCAGAUCAACCCACUGAAACAUGGCAAGAUUCUGUAAUUAUACUAAAAUAGACCAAUAUUUUCUCAAGAAAUUUACUAGUCUUUUGAAAUGUUGCUCUGUGCAUCAAAUCCAUGUAUAAAAGAAAUGGUAAAUCAAUUAUUUCAACCUAGAAAGUUUUUUUUUUCUAUAGUCUACAUGCUAAUAGUCAACUGCAGACUGCCUA
RNAcentral lists this long non-coding RNA (951 nucleotides) under Anser brachyrhynchus (Pink-footed goose). Its description in RNAcentral is "lncRNA (ENSABRG00000007451.1)". Lineage: Eukaryota; Metazoa; Chordata; Aves; Anseriformes; Anatidae. The record is from RNAcentral.